Molecule: ribosomal RNA, 482 nt
Filed under: uncultured bacterium
Lineage: Bacteria
Description: partial 16S ribosomal RNA
Rfam family: Bacterial small subunit ribosomal RNA
Source: RNAcentral
GACGAACGCUGGCGGCGUGCUUAACACAUGCAAGUCGAACGAUGAAACCUAGCUUGCUAGGUCGAUUGGUGGCGAACGGGUGAGUAACACGUGACUAACCUGCCCCUUUCUCUGGGAUAACGCUCCGAAAGGAGUGCCAAUACCGGAUACUCACACCGAGGCACAUGCCUUGGUGUGGAAAGUUUUUCGGAAAGGGAUGGAGUCGCGGCCUAUCAGCUUGUUGGUGAGGUAACGGCUCACCAAGGCGACGACGGGUAGCCGGCCUGAGAGGGCGACCGGCCACACUGGGACUGAGACACGGCCCAGACUCCUACGGGAGGCAGCAGUGGGGAAUAUUGCACAAUGGGCGCAAGCCUGAUGCAGCGACGCCGCGUGAGGGAUGAAGGUCUUCGGAUUGUAAACCUCUUUCAGUAGGGACGAAGCGAAAGUGACGGUACCUAAAGAAGAAGCACCGGCUAACUACGUGCCAGCAGCCGCAGUAA